AACGAACGCUGGCGGCAGGCUUUACAGAUGCAAGUCGAGCGCGCCUUCGGGUGAGCGGCGGACGGGUUAGUAACGCGUGGGAACGUGCCCUUCUCUACGGAAUAGCCUCUGGAAACGGAGAGUAAUACCGUAUACGCCCUUUGGGGGAAAGAUUUAUCGGAGAAGGAUCGGCCCGCGUUAGAUUAGGUAGUUGGUGGGGUAACGGCCUACCAAGCCUACGAUCUAUAGCUGGUUUUAGAGGAUGAUCAGCAACACUGGGACUGAGACACGGCCCAGACUCCUACGGGAGGCAGCAGUGGGGAAUCUUAGACAAUGGGGGCAACCCUGAUCUAGCCAUGCCGCGUGAGUGAUGAAGGCCUUAGGGUCGUAAAGCUCUUUCGCCUGUGAUGAUAAUGACAGUAGCAGGUAAAGAAACCCCGGCUAACUCCGUG
Molecule: ribosomal RNA, 431 nt
Filed under: uncultured bacterium
Lineage: Bacteria
Description: bacterial SSU rRNA
Rfam family: Bacterial small subunit ribosomal RNA
Source: RNAcentral